This 23-nucleotide non-coding RNA is filed under the name Cricetulus griseus (Chinese hamster). The record is from RNAcentral. Lineage: Eukaryota; Metazoa; Chordata; Mammalia; Rodentia; Cricetidae.
AAAAGAAUGUAACACUUUGAGGG